This is a non-coding RNA of Monodelphis domestica (gray short-tailed opossum), 825 nucleotides long. NCBI's taxonomy places the organism in Eukaryota, Metazoa, Chordata, Mammalia, Didelphimorphia, Didelphidae. The record is from RefSeq and is a predicted model, not a curated record.
CUCUAUCUGCUAUGCCACUGAGCUGCUUCCAACCUUUUCAAAUAUCAAAUUUUCCUGAAUAUGGAACUUAUACAGUUCUUAGAUGCCAUCCAGUUCAGCCCUGUCACUUACAGAGAAGAAAACUGAGACUUACUAAAGUUAAGAAACUUGCCCAACAUCAAACAGGUUGCCUUGGAUUUCAUUAGCCUGUCCACAUGCCCUUGCUGCUAAUUUUGCAAAAACAAAGAGCAACCCUUGCAUUCUUCUGCUCAUUGUGGCAUUAUUUCUCUUUGUGUGAGCAUCACUACAGCAUCUAGCCAAACAAUUGCUUCUAGGAUCUGGGUGGGUGCUCAGUGAAAGAGCCCAAAGCCCAUGUCAUAAUCAGAUUCUUCUGAUAGAAAAAGGUGCACCUCCCUCCAACCCCAGGAAGCCAGCUUACUGCUCACUAGCAGAUCAUGGUCCUCAAUGCUUUUACUGCUGAACUUGUGGAUGACCUUGAGAUGCUCCUCAUCUACCUCGAUUCCAAGGCUCUGUCUAGGACUAGGACUCUUCAGGUCCUUGGCUUUGGGGAAGUCAUUGCUGCCAAGGACAGCCAAAAGUUUCAGAUUUCAUGGAUUGUUUUCAGAAGGAUUAUUGAAGAAAAAUGAGGUGUCACACACAUACAGAGAAAAUAUAUGGCAUCUCUGGGUUCAAGGUCAGAAAUUCCAGACAAAUCAUCUACUCAUCUCUGUGGUGACUGUACAGGUACAGAAAUCCAUUGUCUUAACAGUAGGUUCUCUUGACAAGGAAAUAUAUUAAAUGUUACACCAAUGUACAAUUGAGUAUACUAAGAAAUACAUGUAUAAA